RNAcentral lists this ribosomal RNA (463 nucleotides) under uncultured Methanomicrobiales archaeon. RNAcentral's name for it is "bacterial SSU rRNA". It matches the Rfam family "Archaeal small subunit ribosomal RNA", at positions 875 to 1338 of the family's 1478-position model. The record is from RNAcentral. Lineage: Archaea; Methanobacteriati; Methanobacteriota; Methanomicrobia; Methanomicrobiales.
AGCACACAACAGGUGGAGCCUGCGGUUUAAUCGGACUCAACGCCGGGAAAACUCACCAAUAGACAGCUGAAUGAUAGUCGGGCUGAAGACUCUACUUGACUAGCUGAGAGGAGGUGCAUGGCCGUCGUCAGUUCGUACUGUGAAGCAUCCUGUUAAGUCAGGCAACGAGCGAGACCCACGCCAACAGUUGCCAGCUCGUCCUCCGGGAUGGAGGGGACACUGUUGGGACCGCCUCUGCUAAAGAGGAGGAAGGAAUGGGGCAACGGUAGGUCAGCAUGCCCCGAAUUAUCUGGGCUACACGCGGGCUACAAUGGGUGGGACAAUGGGUAUCGGCACCGAAAGGUGAAGGCAAUCUCCUAAACCCAUCCUUAGUUCGGAUUGUGGGCUGCAACUCGCCCACAUGAAGCUGGAAUCUGUAGUAAUCGUGUUUCAAAAUAGCACGGUGAAUAUGUCCCUGCUCCUU